AUUUAAAUCUAUAUUAUAUAUUUUAUUGUCAAUCUACAUAGAUUUUUCUACUUUGAAAUAUUUUCUACGUUCUUAAUUACAGAAGCCAAUGACCAACCAGAACACCCAAAAAAUAUAUAUUUAUUUAUGUUGUUUUCCUUUUUUUUCUAAAAAGCAAUACAAAAAAAUAAUAGUUAUAUUUCAAUUAAACAUUACGAUUGAUUGUAUAUAUUUUUUUGUAUUUCAAUUUGUUUAAGUUUCAUUUUCUUAUUUUCACAAUAAUAAUAUUUUCUUCUUCUUUUAAUUUAAAAAGUUAAUCUAUUAAUUGCUUUUGUGGCUUUAAUAGAAAUUUAUUAAAUAUCCCAUAAUACUAUGUAGUAUACUAGUAUUAUCUACAUAGUACUCCAAAUUACUGAAUAAUUUCUUCUUUUUUUUGGUCAUCAAUAGGAUACUUAUUACAAAUAUCAGAACAAUAAUUAGAAAUCAACUGUCACCAAACCCAACAAUCAUCACAAAAAAUAAUUUACAUAAUCAAUAUUUGCCAUAAGUGAGGAUUGACACAUUAACUAACAAAAUAAGAUUAUGUAGAAGUAGGUGUCAUUUGGCAUGUGGUUUUUUUAGUUAAUUUUUUGAUUUUUUGACUAUUUUAGCUUUGGUUAAAAAGUUCGUUUAGAUUAUUUUUUCAGUUUUUUUAACUUUUGUGAAAAAAAAAUAAAAUAAUUAUUAUUUGGAUAUGCCAAACGAAACCUAAGUUAACCCAAUUGAUUAGGAUUACUCAAUAAUUACACAGUUCUAAUUUUGACCAAACAAUUGGGUGCCAAAUCACUUUUUUAUGUUAUGACAAUAUACGAAAAUGACACCUUUAUUUUUAUAAAAAUCAAUUAUUGUCUCUUAUUGAAGAGUAAAAAUAUUUUAAAUUGCUGCAAAAGGGUAGCUUCGCCCUCACCAGCUCUCUACCCCGUUGAGAUCUGGUUUGUAUUAUUCCUGAAAGAGAGCACAGCCAUGCUAGGUUUGGUUGGAAGAUUUGGUAAGAGAUUUAAGCCUAUUUUGAGAAGUUGGUUAAAAAUCACUUCGCAGCUUUUAACUUACUUCCCUCUCUUACCAAAAAAUCAAAAAAAGUCAAAACAUAACUUUUAACCAUUUUUCGAAAACACCUUUAGAAAGAAAAAGUAAAAAGAUAAAUGAAAUAUUAACAAAAUAUACUUAUAUUUUAUCUAAUUUCACACACUUUUUUUCUUUCUCUUUUCAAAUCUCUUAUCUUAUCUCCCAAUCAAACACAAAGUCAACAUUGAUUGCCUACCUCUUGUCCAACAAUUGUGAGUGAUCAUCAUUUAUAACAAUAAUUUCACUCAUGUCAUCACAGCAAUGAUGCAAGGUUAAUGGUCCACUUGUUUAAAUAGAAAAUAUAUUUUAACCUAAAAUUUAAACCCCACCACCCAUCGUCACCACACCAGACCAGCCCCUCCCCCCUCAAACACUUCGCUACACCCUCACUAUAAUACAACUAUUAGUAUAUUAGUCUUGAAGUCAUAACCAAAUAAAAUUAUUUCCAAAAGGGAUAAGUUUUUGUUUUUUGAGAAGUUGGGCUUUAUGAGGUUUAUCAUGAGUUUCAUUUUAUAAUUUGAACUAUUCAUUUUAUUUGAUUAUGCAUAUAAAUUAUUUAUGAAAAAAAGUUAGAUUGUUUUGAUAAUCACUUCAUAUUUUAUUAUAUUUUUCUGUUAAGAAAAUGAUGUAUAUGUUUAAAAUUAUCUUUUAUGCCCAUUUUUCACACACACACACACAAAAAAACAUAUUAAUAAAAUAUAUAAUUAUAAUUAUCAAAGCAAUCUAAUUUUUUUAAUCAACAAUCUACCUGCCUGUAACAAAAUAAAUUGUUCUAAAUUAUUAUAUUAGAGUUGUACAAGGCCUAAUAACACCUCCACUAGAAUAUUAAUUUUUUUGAAAACAAAAAAAAAAAAAAAAAAAAAAAAAAAAAAAAAAAAAAAAAAA
This is a non-coding RNA of Camellia sinensis, 1968 nucleotides long. The record is from RefSeq and is a predicted model, not a curated record. NCBI's taxonomy places the organism in Eukaryota, Viridiplantae, Streptophyta, Magnoliopsida, Ericales, Theaceae.